CCCCAUUGAACUGAGGUGUUGGGCGGGGGGAAAGAAGGCUGAACGUUUUUUUGUGUGUGUCCUCGUAAUGAGUCCUGUUUUCUUGGUAGCUAGGAUCCCUUGUUACAAACACUUCUUGUUCAGAAUUAUAUUCUUUGGGUUUAUUGGAACAGGAAGUGCUGAAAAUGUCAAUCAUCAUCUCUGAAGAAAAAGGAGUUGCAAUGGCUUAAGAGUUUAAGAAGGGAGCUCAGAGAAGUACUUUCGGCAUAGGAAUGAACAGUAUUCUCAAAUUGCAGAAUACAGUUACUCUCCCUCAGAAGAGGGUUCUAUGUAACAGAAACAUAGAGGAAGCAUAGGUAUAGUUGAAGAGCCUUUUACGUAGUAAUUCUUCCAGGCCAUAACCAUACAAAUCUGAUCAUUUAGACAUGACACAUUUCUAUAUACAAAAAAAACAUGUAACUUUCAACCUUUUUUUUUUUUUUUACAAACAAGGUAUGAAACUCAUUGUUUCAACAGAUCCAUAUCUUUCAAACACUGAAUGAAUCAUUUCGACAUUCAUUUUUCUUUUGUGCAAUUUUUAAAAACAUUACCUGUACUCCUCAAAGUGAGUGCUUCAAAGUUUUUUUUCUUCAGCUUCUCAAAUUAGGUGUACAUUAAAAAAAAAAAAAUCCCACAAGGUAUAGUGCUACAAGAAAAGAUCCUAUCAGUAAGGUAACAUAUUUGAAGCGAGGUCAUCUAUGUAAAAGAAAUCUCAGCUCCGGAGUAGAGGUGUGCAAACAGUUUGGAGUUUCCCUAUCAACAGAAACACAACACUGUCCGUGGAAAAAAAAGAGGAAACCAACCCAACACAAUGGCAUAUGCAUGUGCUUUAUAAAAAAGUAUAUUCUCUGUAUAGUUAUUACUGGAUGUGUUCUUAAAAUUCUCUAUUUCAGAAAUUCUGGGUUGAAAACAAGGUGGAAGCAAAGACCUCCACUUCACUUUGAAAACCAAAAAGCAUAAUUCCCUUUGCUUUCACAUCACCCCGAAGAAGCUGGAUUGGGCCACAGAGACCGCUGGCCCUUUUUUCACCUGGGAUCAUCACGGGUGACUAGGAGAUAGGAAGUGCAAAGGGUUUUAGGAGAAAACAGACCAUGGUUUGUUGAGCUGCUUGCAGUUCAUGAAACAGUGGCCAUGACGACCAACACAGCUCAAAAAGCCUGGCCUUCAGUCCACAGAGCUCUGCUGCUUCACCCAGAUCUGAAAUAGCAUGGCAUUAGUGUCUUCAAAAGCAUUUGAGAUUCUUUUUCUCUAUGAAAUAGGUUUCCUUAGUAGUCACAGAUGUUAAAGGGUAUUAUCAAUUGUUUCCUUAAAAAAAACAAAAACAAAAAUCCCAAAGCUACACCACAACAAAAAUAAAUUUUGGCAACGUAUUUCAGUAAAGAUCAAACUAUGUGCAAAGAGUGGAUUUUAUGAUUACUAGGAGCUACUGUUCAUCUUGAACAUGCAGCAUUAUAUUGCAAUCUAUGCAGUAUCUAAGGAGAAAUCCACAAGAUGCAGGAAAUCCAAACAUUCCUCGAAGUUGUACAACCCUACUCCAGAACAGUCAAAGUGCUGCUUCUGGACACGUCAGUGUACCACACACACGCCAGCCCCGUCCCUGAGUUAGAGGUGUGAAAGGUUCCGCAGAGUUCCUUAGAGGGGAGAAGGAGGGGUGCUGCCACUUCCCGGUGGGGGACAAAACCCAACACACUCACCUAACAGAAAACACAAAGGGUCAUGAUUCAGAGUGAGAAAGGGGAUUGACGACAGCAAUGAAAAAAAAUAAAAUCAUCCCAAAACCGGGUGAGUUGGAAAAGACAAAAAAUUGACCAACAUAGAAAAUUAUCCUGAACGUCCAAAUGAGAAAGCAAUUUUGGAUUUCCACUUUAAAAGAUUUGAGGCCUGCUGUUAUUAGUUUCAAAAUGGAAAACGGGAAAGAAAGAAGAACGAAAGACGGGUUCAGUAAAUAUUGCAAAGUGGACACAGUACAGAGGCACAUGGCUGAUCCUCGUAAGCUGCACGGCACGGAAGGGUUUCUAUGCCUGUCAUUGUUAGGUCGGCUACGCAGGCGCAGUGGCAAAGGCUGCUCUGGGAGCCUUGGGGCUCGCCAAUGUCUGCAAACAAGAGGAGGCCCCUGUCCUCUGGAUGUUCUUCCUAUUUGAAGAGAGAGCUGCCACAAAGGAGUGGUGACCAUUGUUCGCAGGUGGCCCCCUCCGUAGCCACUGACCGGACGCUUGGAAGGCGCGCACACGGCGGGCCACGCUUCCUGACCACGCCCAGAGGCUCGGCUCGAAGUCUCAAGGACACAGACCUGCCCACUCGCGGAAAAGAUCGUGGAACAUGGGUUGAUCCUGGCACUAUUGCUCCAGAGUGCGCCUCAGAAAGGACGCUGUCUCCCUCCUGUCUGCACUGCACAUUCACUACUCCUCGUGGUGACGGGGGAAGUGCCGUUCUCCCCUUCCACCUCCUUUGCUUGCUCUUUCUGCAACAAGGCGACAGACAGGGCUCCCGAAAGCAAGCUCCCUGCCCCAGGAUUCAGCAUCCGCAGCAGGGCAAACGCGCAGCCGGAGGCCCUCCCCUUCCUGGCUCCUUCCUUCCAGCCCUUCUCUGGCCAGAACAGGAACGAGGGACCGAGUAAGGAAAAAGCCAAAAGGGUCUGAGCUUCCUCUAGAGCGCACCGAUCAGACUCUAUUGGCACGGAAAGUUUUGCACAUGCUAAAGAAGCAAGAAAGUGAAGUGGGACAAUGUUGAGAAAGAACCAAUUAUUUGAUAAUUCCUAUACCUGAAAUAGAAGCACAGAAACGAUGACGAUGUUCCUAUCGCUCCAAACCAUGUUAUGUUUUCCCAUUUUAGUGUUAGAGGUGUGGAUCCACUUAGUUCGAUACUCGAAAGAAGCCAAAAGGUGGUGGGUGUUUCUCUGAGUCCACAUGAGUUGCUGUAAUUAGUGGUGCUGAUGAGGACAAAGUCUAUAAUGGCAGCCCCAUAUUCCUCUUACCAUCGAAACAAAAAGAAAAACAAAGCCUAAUAAUUGCAAGUGCCCUGAGCAGAAUAUAUGGAAGAUUAAGCAAGUUCUCUGAA
Molecule: long non-coding RNA, 3075 nt
Organism: Physeter macrocephalus (sperm whale)
Lineage: Eukaryota; Metazoa; Chordata; Mammalia; Artiodactyla; Physeteridae
Exons: 2
Source: RefSeq, a predicted model, not a curated record